GAUGAACGCUGGCGGCGUGCCUAAUACAUGCAAGUCGAGCGAACAGACGAGAGUGCUUGCACUCUCUGACGUUAGCGGCGGACGGGUGAGUAACACGUGGGUAACCUACCUAUAAGACUGGGAGAACUUCGGGAAACCGGAGCUAAUACCGGAUAAUAUUUAGCUUCGCAUGAAGCAAUAGUGAAAGACGGUUCUGCUGUCACUUAUAGAUGGACCCGCGGUGUAUUAGCUAGUUGGUGAGGUAACGGCUCACCAAGGCAACGAUACAUAGCCGACCUGAGAGGGUGAUCGGCCACACUGGGACUGAGACACGGCCCAGACUCCUACGGGAGGCAGCAGUAGGGAAUCUUCCGCAAUGGACGAAAGUCUGACGGAGCAAUGCCGCGUGAGUGAAGAAGGUUUUCGGAUCGUAAAACUCUGUUGUAAGGGAAGAACAAGUACGUUAGUAACUGAACGUACCUUGACGGUACCUUACCAGAAAGCCACGGCUAACUACGUG
This 499-nucleotide ribosomal RNA is filed under the name uncultured bacterium. RNAcentral describes it as "partial 16S ribosomal RNA". It matches the Rfam family "Bacterial small subunit ribosomal RNA", at positions 28 to 507 of the family's 1533-position model. The record is from RNAcentral.